UUCGGUUAAGUCCGGCAACGAGCGCGACCCUCGUUUCCAGUUGCCAGCGGGUAAUGCCGGGGACUCUGGAAAGACAAACCUCUUGUUGAGGUGGGAAGGUGGGGACGACGUCAAGUCAGUAUGGCCCUUACGACCAGGGCUGCACACGUGCUACAAUGCCCGGUACAAUGGGAUGCAAUAUCGCGAGAUUGAGCCAAUCCAUAAAGCCGGGCCCAGUUCGGAUUGGAGUCUGCAACUCGACUCCAUGAAGUUGGAAUCGCUAGUAAUGGCGUAUCAGCAACGACGCCGUGAAUACGUUCCCGGGCCUUGUACACACCGCCCGUCACAUCAUGAAAGCCGGUUCUGCCCGAAGUACAUGAGUCAACCGCAAGGAGACAGUGUCCUAAGGUGGGGCUGGUAAUUGGGAUGAAGUCGUAACAAGGUAGCCCGCCGUA
Molecule: ribosomal RNA, 434 nt
Filed under: uncultured bacterium
Lineage: Bacteria
Description: bacterial SSU rRNA
Rfam family: Bacterial small subunit ribosomal RNA
Source: RNAcentral